Molecule: ribosomal RNA, 1671 nt
Filed under: Salmonella enterica subsp. enterica serovar Enteritidis
Lineage: Bacteria; Pseudomonadati; Pseudomonadota; Gammaproteobacteria; Enterobacterales; Enterobacteriaceae
Description: partial 23S ribosomal RNA
Rfam family: Bacterial large subunit ribosomal RNA
Source: RNAcentral
CUUAUGCGUUGUUGGGUAGGGGAGCGUUCUGUAAGCCUGCGAAGGUGGCCUGUGAGGGUUGCUGGAGGUAUCAGAAGUGCGAAUGCUGACAUAAGUAACGAUAAAGCGGGUGAAAAGCCCGCUCGCCGGAAGACCAAGGGUUCCUGUCCAACGUUAAUCGGGGCAGGGUGAGUCGACCCCUAAGGCGAGGCCGAAAGGCGUAGUCGAUGGGAAACGGGUUAAUAUUCCCGUACUUGGUGUUACUGCGAAGGGGGGACGGAGAAGGCUAUGUUGGCCGGGCGACGGUUGUCCCGGUUUAAGCGUGUAGGCUGGUUUUCCAGGCAAAUCCGGAAAAUCAAGGCUGAGGCGUGAUGACGAGGCACUACGGUGCUGAAGCAACAAAUGCCCUGCUUCCAGGAAAAGCCUCUAAGCAUCAGGUAACAUCAAAUCGUACCCCAAACCGACACAGGUGGUCAGGUAGAGAAUACCAAGGCGCUUGAGAGAACUCGGGUGAAGGAACUAGGCAAAAUGGUGCCGUAACUUCGGGAGAAGGCACGCUGACACGUAGGUGAAGUGAUUUACUCAUGGAGCUGAAGUCAGUCGAAGAUACCAGCUGGCUGCAACUGUUUAUUAAAAACACAGCACUGUGCAAACACGAAAGUGGACGUAUACGGUGUGACGCCUGCCCGGUGCCGGAAGGUUAAUUGAUGGGGUCAGCGCAAGCGAAGCUCCUGAUCGAAGCCCCGGUAAACGGCGGCCGUAACUAUAACGGUCCUAAGGUAGCGAAAUUCCUUGUCGGGUAAGUUCCGACCUGCACGAAUGGCGUAAUGAUGGCCAGGCUGUCUCCACCCGAGACUCAGUGAAAUUGAACUCGCUGUGAAGAUGCAGUGUACCCGCGGCAAGACGGAAAGACCCCGUGAACCUUUACUAUAGCUUGACACUGAACAUUGAGCCUUGAUGUGUAGGAUAGGUGGGAGGCUUUGAAGUGUGGACGCCAGUCUGCAUGGAGCCGACCUUGAAAUACCACCCUUUAAUGUUUGAUGUUCUAACGUGGACCCGUUACCCGGGUUGCGGACAGUGUCUGGUGGGUAGUUUGACUGGGGCGGUCUCCUCCUAAAGAGUAACGGAGGAGCACGAAGGUUGGCUAAUCCUGGUCGGACAUCAGGAGGUUAGUGCAAUGGCAUAAGCCAGCUUGACUGCGAGCGUGACGGCGCGAGCAGGUGCGAAAGCAGGUCAUAGUGAUCCGGUGGUUCUGAAUGGAAGGGCCAUCGCUCAACGGAUAAAAGGUACUCCGGGGAUAACAGGCUGAUACCGCCCAAGAGUUCAUAUCGACGGCGGUGUUUGGCACCUCGAUGUCGGCUCAUCACAUCCUGGGGCUGAAGUAGGUCCCAAGGGUAUGGCUGUUCGCCAUUUAAAGUGGUACGCGAGCUGGGUUUAGAACGUCGUGAGACAGUUCGGUCCCUAUCUGCCGUGGGCGCUGGAGAACUGAGGGGGGCUGCUCCUAGUACGAGAGGACCGGAGUGGACGCAUCACUGGUGUUCGGGUUGUCAUGCCAAUGGCACUGCCCGGUAGCUAAAUGCGGAAGAGAUAAGUGCUGAAAGCAUCUAAGCACGAAACUUGCCCCGAGAUGAGUUCUCCCUGAGACUUAGAGUCUCCUGAAGGAACGUUGAAGACGACGACGUUGAUAGGCCG